GGGCCUGUAGCUCAGUGGUUAGAGCAGUCGGCUCAUAACCGAUUUGUCCCUGGUUCAAGUCCAGGCAGGCCCACCA
Molecule: transfer RNA, 76 nt
Filed under: bacterium
Lineage: Bacteria
Description: tRNA-Ile
Rfam family: tRNA
About the family: Transfer RNA (tRNA) molecules are approximately 80 nucleotides in length. Their secondary structure includes four short double-helical elements and three loops (D, anti-codon, and T loops). Further hydrogen bonds mediate the characteristic L-shaped molecular structure. tRNAs have two regions of fundamental functional importance: the anti-codon, which is responsible for specific mRNA codon recognition, and the 3' end, to which the tRNAs corresponding amino acid is attached (by aminoacyl-tRNA synthetases). tRNAs cope with the degeneracy of the genetic code in two manners: having more than one tRNA (with a specific anti-codon) for a particular amino acid; and 'wobble' base-pairing, i.e. permitting non-standard base-pairing at the 3rd anti-codon position.
Source: RNAcentral